GUGCAUCUUGCUAGCGUCCUCUAAGUCGAAGCGAAUUGGAUCAAUUUCAGCCGAGCUUCUGAAUCCGUCCCCCCUUCACCGUUGUUGGGCCGUGCAUAGAUCACAUUAGGCUGAAAUCACAUCUUAGCUUCUGAUAUAUUCGACAAGGUCUUCGGUUUUUCCCUUUGGCUUAUUCAAUUCUACGAGUUGAUGGAGGCCUGGAUUUGCUCUAGAGUUUUUCCCUUUGUUUCAGGCACAAUCUUCACAACAAAUAGUACUGUAAGAGCACAGAAUCCCGCAUAGAUCAUGAAUGUUCCUGAGGAAUGAAAUUUCAGACACAAGUAUGAAUCAAUCACAAAUCAUUAAUGUAAAAUUAAGGUUUAAUCUAUUCGAUUCUGACAAUGUCUGGACAGUAAUCGUUUACCUGUUGAACUCCAGCUCAUGAGAAAGUUGAAUGUGUAGGAAACUGCCCAAGCACCUGACCAGUUUACUAGUACUACCAGGCUCCCAGCUAAACCUUUCAUGUGAAUUGGGAAUAUCUGAAAAGUAAAAAAUAGUGUUAGGAUUUACGGCACCUUUAGUGGUUUGCUUCAGAUCUUUCAGUAAAUCAUGCAAUAUGAUGGAACAAGGUGGCGAAAAAGGAUCGAAGUAGGUGACUCAAAAUUUGCUGAGAAGAAAGACUUACGCUUACGCUAAAUGAUUGAGUAUCAAAGUAUAACCACAGUAUACGAUUUUUUACGACCACUAAUUUACCAAACUUAUUUUGUAGAUCUCUAGUUAUUCUGAGUUCGUGCAAUUGAAUGGAAACGUAUGUUGAAUUCUUACGUUAAUAAUAGUAAAUAGCAUUUUUCUAGGUAUAAAUUUUCUUAUAAAAUGCACUAUGAAUUAUAUUAUUUUCUUUAAAAUCGCUUUUUAACAAUUUCAUCAUCUUUUAAAAGUGGCUUUGCCUUUCUCCGGCCCCGAAGUAUUGAUUCAACAAAAUUAUGGAGUCUUGUCACGCUCUUUCAUGCAUUACUUUGCUAUUAAAAAUCUUCAUACUUUACUUUUUCACGAUUUAACAUUAUUUGUUUCAAUAUUUAAAUAUGUAAUUCAUAUGACGGUAAUGUUAUUUUGGAAGUCUCCAAUUGAUGGUGCACUUUAAGAACAUAAGAUAAUUUAUAACUAAGAGAACUAAAAUGAAUGAAGUGCUUACAAGGGCUACUACACGAAUUUGAACUUCGUCGAUCAAGCUAGUCAUUUUGAAUCUUAAUAAAUACGACAGUUUCUCUCACAUUCUGCACGACACAAUAAUCUUGGCUUUGAAAUUGAAAGGUGGCGAACAAAAUAAGAAAAUUAUAGUGGGGAACAAAUUUAGGAACAACGGAGUAUUAAACGAACAUCCAGAUUUAUUACUUGAAAUAUUCUCUAGUUAUAAUCCGACCUAGUUUUAUUCUCUAACAUCUUAAUCUUUUUAGUUAAAGUGAUUCAACAUCAUGGAAUAUUGCAAACGCGCAAUCCAGAAUGAAUAAAAAAUAUGCAUAAUUUUUUGCAUCAAUUAAAAAUUUAAGAAAUAACGUAAUAACAGCUGAAAAUUCAAUAACAAAUCUGCUCUGAGUGAUACAUGCACAAGUAUAUAUGUAUAUCUAUCAGUAUUGAUUGGAACAUCAUAUUGCAGGCACAAUUGUAUGGUGCAUCUUGCUAGCGUCCUCUAAGUCGAAGCGAAUUGGAUCAAUUUCAGCCGAGCUUCUGAACCCAUCCCCCCUUCACCGUUGUUGGUCCGUGCAUAGAUCACUUGAAUUCGAUAAUGAAAGAAAGACGAGAUACAUUAGACAGAAAUCACAUCUUAGCUUCUGAUAUAUUCGACAAGGUCUUCGGUUUUUCCCUUUGGCUUAUUCAAUUCUAUGAGUUGAUGGAGGCCUGGAUUUGCUCUAGAGUUUUUCCCUUUGUUUCAGGCACAAUCUUCACCACAAAUAGUACUGUAAGAGCACAGAAUCC
RNAcentral lists this long non-coding RNA (1953 nucleotides) under Olea europaea (common olive). Its description in RNAcentral is "long non-coding RNA (OEUR_LNC000839)". Lineage: Eukaryota; Viridiplantae; Streptophyta; Magnoliopsida; Lamiales; Oleaceae. The record is from RNAcentral.